Molecule: non-coding RNA, 95 nt
Organism: Pelobates cultripes (western spadefoot toad)
Lineage: Eukaryota; Metazoa; Chordata; Amphibia; Anura; Pelobatidae
Source: the annotation of a GenBank genome assembly
UGCAUUAUAUAAACACUACACAAACACACAUUGCAUUAUAUACACUGUGUAGUGUAUUUAUAUAAUGCAGUGUUUGUGUAGUGUGCAUUCUAUAA